UGGCACGAAGCAAGAAGCCGCCC
This 23-nucleotide microRNA is filed under the name Gallus gallus (chicken). RNAcentral's name for it is "microRNA Ros-gga". The record is from RNAcentral. Lineage: Eukaryota; Metazoa; Chordata; Aves; Galliformes; Phasianidae.